RNAcentral lists this ribosomal RNA (468 nucleotides) under uncultured bacterium. Its description in RNAcentral is "partial 16S ribosomal RNA". It matches the Rfam family "Bacterial small subunit ribosomal RNA", at positions 28 to 507 of the family's 1533-position model. The record is from RNAcentral.
GACGAACGCUGGCGGCGUGCUUAACACAUGCAAGUCGAACGGCAAGGCCCUGCUUUUGUGGGGUGCUCGAGUGGCGAACGGGUGAGUAACACGUGAGUAACCUGCCCUUGACUUUGGGAUAACUUCAGGAAACUGGGGCUAAUACCGGAUAGGAGCUCCUGCUGCAUGGUGGGGGUUGGAAAGUUUCGGCGGUUGGGGAUGGACUCGCGGCUUAUCAGCUUGUUGGUGGGGUAGUGGCUUACCAAGGCUUUGACGGGUAGCCGGCCUGGGAGGGUGACCGGCCACAUUGGGACUGAGAUACGGCCCAGACUCCAACGGGAGGCAGCAGUGGGGAAUAUUGCACAAUGGGCGGAAGCCUGAGGCAGCAACGCCGCGUGCGUGAUGACGGCCUUCGGGUUGUAAACCGCUUUCGCCUGUGACGAAGCGUGAGUGACGGUAAUGGGUAAAGAAGCACCGGCUAACUACGUG